AGUCGAGCGAACCUUCGGGUCUAGCGGCGGACGGGUUAGUAACGCGUGGGAAUAUACCCUUCACUACGGAAUAGCCUCGGGAAACUGGGAGUAAUACCGUAUACGCCCUUUUGGGGAAAGAUUUAUCGGUGAAGGAUUAGCCCGCGUCUGAUUAGAUAGUUGGUGGGGUAAUGGCCUACCAAGUCUACGAUCAGUAGCUGGUUUGAGAGGAUGAUCAGCAACACUGGGACUGAGACACGGCCCACACUCCUACGGGAGGCAGCAGUGGGGAAUCUUAGACAAUGGGCGCAAGCCUGAUCUAGCCAUGCCGCGUGAGUGACGAAGGCCUUAGGGUCGUAAAGCUCUUUCGCCAGAGAUGAUAAUGACAGUAUCUGGUAAAGAAACCCCGGCUAACUCCGUGCCAGCAGCCGCGGUAAUACGGAGGGGGUUAGCGUUGUUCGGAAUUACUGGGCGUAAAGCGCACGUAGGCGGAUUGGAAAGUAUGGGGUGAAAUCCCAGGGCUCAACCCUGGAACUGCCUUGUAAACUCCCAGUCUAGAGUUCGAGAGAGGUGAGUGGAAUUCCAAGUGUAGAGGUGAAAUUCGUAGAUAUUUGGAGGAACACCAGUGGCGAAGGCGGCUCACUGGCUCGAUACUGACGCUGAGGUGCGAAAGUGUGGGGAGCAAACAGGAUUAGAUACCCUGGUAGUCCACACCGUAAACCAUGAAUGCCAGACGUCAGGGGGCUUGCCCUUUGGUGUCACACCUAACGGAUUAAGCAUUCCGCCUGGGGAGUACGGUCGCCAGAUUAAAAACUCAAAGGACUUGACGGGGGCCCGCACCAACG
RNAcentral lists this ribosomal RNA (824 nucleotides) under uncultured Alphaproteobacteria bacterium. Its description in RNAcentral is "bacterial SSU rRNA". It matches the Rfam family "Bacterial small subunit ribosomal RNA", at positions 60 to 931 of the family's 1533-position model. The record is from RNAcentral. Lineage: Bacteria; Pseudomonadati; Pseudomonadota; Alphaproteobacteria.